AAUGAACGCUGGCGGCAGGCCUAACACAUGCAAGUCGAGCGGAUGAGAGGAGCUUGCUCCUUGAUUUAGCGGCGGACGGGUGAGUAAUGCCUAGGAAUCUGCCUGGUAGUGGGGGAUAACGUUCCGAAAGGAACGCUAAUACCGCAUACGUCCUACGGGAGAAAGCAGGGGACCUUCGGGCCUUGCGCUAUCAGAUGAGCCUAGGUCGGAUUAGCUAGUUGGUGAGGUAAUGGCUCACCAAGGCGACGAUCCGUAACUGGUCUGAGAGGAUGAUCAGUCACACUGGAACUGAGACACGGUCCAGACUCCUACGGGAGGCAGCAGUGGGGAAUAUUGGACAAUGGGCGAAAGCCUGAUCCAGCCAUGCCGCGUGUGUGAAGAAGGUCUUCGGAUUGUAAAGCACUUUAAGUUGGGAGGAAGGGCAGUAAGCUAAUACCUUGCUGUUUUGACGUUACCGACAGAAUAAGCACCGGCUAACUUCGUG
Molecule: ribosomal RNA, 484 nt
Filed under: uncultured bacterium
Lineage: Bacteria
Description: partial 16S ribosomal RNA
Rfam family: Bacterial small subunit ribosomal RNA
Source: RNAcentral